This 468-nucleotide ribosomal RNA is filed under the name uncultured bacterium. RNAcentral's name for it is "partial 16S ribosomal RNA". It matches the Rfam family "Bacterial small subunit ribosomal RNA", at positions 28 to 507 of the family's 1533-position model. The record is from RNAcentral.
GACGAACGCUGGCGGCGUGCUUAACACAUGCAAGUCGAACGGAAAGGCCCUGCUUUUGUGGGGUGCUCGAGUGGCGAACGGGUGAGUAACACGUGAGUAACCUGCCCUUGACUUUGGGAUAACUUCAGGAAACUGGGGCUAAUAUCGGAUAGGAUCUCCUGCUGCAUGGUGGGCGUUGGAAAGUUUCGGCGGUUGGGGAUGGACUCGCGGCUUAUGAGCUUGUUGGUGGGGUAGUGGCUUACCAAGGCUUUGACGGGUAGCCGGCCUGAGAGGGUGACCGGCGACAUUGGGCCUGAGAGAGGGAGCAGACGCGAAUGGGAGGCAGCGGUGGGGAGUCUUGCACAAUGGGCGGACGCGUGAUGCGGCGACGCCGCGUGCGGAAUGACGGCCUUCGGGUUGUGAACCGCUUUCGCCUGAGACGAAGCGUGAGUGACGGUAAUGAAUAAAGAAGCACCGGCUAACUACGUG